RNAcentral lists this ribosomal RNA (253 nucleotides) under uncultured bacterium. Its description in RNAcentral is "partial 16S ribosomal RNA". It matches the Rfam family "Bacterial small subunit ribosomal RNA", at positions 524 to 776 of the family's 1533-position model. The record is from RNAcentral.
UACGUAGGGUGCGAGCGUUGUCCGGAAUUAUUGGGCGUAAAGGGCUCGUAGGCGGUCUGUCACGUCGGGAGUGAAAACACGGGGCUUAACCCCGUGCCUGCUUCCGAUACGGGCAGACUAGAGUGUGGUAGGGGAGAUCGGAAUUCCUGGUGUAGCGGUGGAAUGCGCAGAUAUCAGGAGGAACACCGGUGGCGAAGGCGGAUCUCUGGGCCAUAACUGACGCUGAGGAGCGAAAGCAUGGGGAGCGAACAGG